Non-coding RNA from Solanum lycopersicum (tomato), 107 nucleotides. The record is from Rfam. NCBI's taxonomy places the organism in Eukaryota, Viridiplantae, Streptophyta, Magnoliopsida, Solanales, Solanaceae.
UGAUGAUGAUGAGGGCAAUUCAUCAACAUCGAUUUGAACCUGUCCCAAGCUUGGUACAAGUUCUCACCACCCUUCUGCCUAAAACUUAAUAUGUCACUCCUCAACUU